ACAGGCUGACUUUUGUAGCUCGUCCUCAGAGUAAUGGCAAAGCUAAGGUGACGAAUAGGAUCUUGCUACAGGGAUUGAAAGCUCGACUCGGUCAGAUAAAGGGAUUGUGGGUUGAAGAGCUAUAUUAUGUGCUAUGGGAGUAUCGAACGACUCAACGUCUUUCAAUAAAAAAAACCUCUUUCAAGCUGGCCUUCGACAUUGAAACUGUAAUACCACU
RNAcentral lists this long non-coding RNA (217 nucleotides) under Elaeis guineensis (African oil palm). RNAcentral describes it as "long non-coding RNA (EGUI_LNC007332)". Lineage: Eukaryota; Viridiplantae; Streptophyta; Magnoliopsida; Arecales; Arecaceae. The record is from RNAcentral.